RNAcentral lists this ribosomal RNA (497 nucleotides) under uncultured bacterium. RNAcentral's name for it is "partial 16S ribosomal RNA". It matches the Rfam family "Bacterial small subunit ribosomal RNA", at positions 28 to 507 of the family's 1533-position model. The record is from RNAcentral.
GAUGAACGCUGGCGGCGUGCCUAAUACAUGCAAGUCGAGCGAACAGACGAGGAGCUUGCUCCUCUGACGUUAGCGGCGGACGGGUGAGUAACACGUGGAUAACCUACCUAUAAGACUGGGAUAACUUCGGGAAACCGGAGCUAAUACCGGAUAAUAUAUUGAACCGCAUGGUUCAAUAGUGAAAGACGGUUUUGCUGUCACUUAUAGAUGGAUCCGCGCCGCAUUAGCUAGUUGGUAAGGUAACGGCUUACCAAGGCGACGAUGCGUAGCCGACCUGAGAGGGUGAUCAGCCACACUGGAACUGAGACACGGUCCAGACUCCUACGGGAGGCAGCAGUAGGGAAUCUUCCGCAAUGGGCGAAAGCUUGACGGAGCAACGCCGCGUGAGUGAUGAAGGUCUUCGGAUCGUAAAACUCUGUUAUUAGGGAAGAACAAAUGUGUAAGUAACUAUGCACGUCUUGACGGUACCUAAUCAGAAAGCCACGGCUAACUACGUG